UACGUAGGGUGCAAGCGUUGUCCGGAAUUAUUGGGCGUAAAGAGCUCGUAGGCGGUCUGUCGCGUCGGCUGUGAAAACUCGGGGCUCAACUCCGAGCUUGCAGUCGAUACGGGCAGGCUAGAGUUCGGCAGGGGAGACUGGAAUUCCUGGUGUAGCGGUGAAAUGCGCAGAUAUCAGGAGGAACACCGGUGGUGUAGACGGCUUUCUGGACCGUAACUGACGCUGAGACACGAAGACGUGGUAGCAACAGG
RNAcentral lists this ribosomal RNA (251 nucleotides) under uncultured bacterium. RNAcentral's name for it is "partial 16S ribosomal RNA". It matches the Rfam family "Bacterial small subunit ribosomal RNA", at positions 524 to 776 of the family's 1533-position model. The record is from RNAcentral.